This is a long non-coding RNA of Saccostrea echinata, 619 nucleotides long. RefSeq lists it as uncharacterized. NCBI's taxonomy places the organism in Eukaryota, Metazoa, Mollusca, Bivalvia, Ostreida, Ostreidae. The record is from RefSeq and is a predicted model, not a curated record. The transcript is spliced from 4 exons.
UGUAUUCUCAGGCAUACGAAAACUUAGCAUACCUCAAACCCACAUGGCAAAGCUCAACUCAUGACUCUGCAUAUAGCGGUUCAUCAAGAGCUGUUGAUGGUCGGAAAUCAGAUCUUUCUUAUUUUGGAAAACAAUGCAGCGUAUCAAGUAAUGAACAAUAUACUGCCACGUGGUGGGUGAACCUAGAAGAAAUCCGUGGCAUAAACUUCAUAGUCAUUUUUUACAGAACUGACAAUGCAUAUUGGGAUUCCGGAAAUGGUUACACAACAAGAUUUCUUGGAUUUUAUGUGUAUAUUUCAAAUACAACAAACAGAUUGGAUGGCACUUUGUGUUUUCACGAUACAAGCUACACCAGGUCCACGAUACCCGCCGUUGCCAACAUAAGCUGUCCUGUAUAUGGACAAUACGUCAUCUACUAUAACGAAAGACUUCAGGGUGUCAGCUAUCCAUCUGGAUAUUCGCAAUAUGCAUUCACCGAGCUUUGCGAGGUGGAGGUUUUUGGUUGCUCUGAUCCUACACGUUAUGGUUCAGAUUGUUCACAUCAAUGUUCUUCAAACUGCCUACAAUAUUGUCAGAUAGACUCAGGAAAAUGUCCACAAUGUGCGCCUGGGUACAAGGG